AAGGUUUUAAGUUAAUAAAACUGAAGAUUUUCAAAAUCUUUAAUAAAUAAAUUGUUUAAAUCUUG
Molecule: transfer RNA, 65 nt
Filed under: Ascarosepion apama (giant Australian cuttlefish)
Lineage: Eukaryota; Metazoa; Mollusca; Cephalopoda; Sepiida; Sepiidae
Description: tRNA-Trp
Source: RNAcentral